UAAUCCAUCGCGAUUCCUCCCAUCUAGGUGAUCUUCAGUUCUUGCAUUCAGUCUAACAACUGUUAGAAAUUUAACAACCAGCCACGGAGGCAAGUCCAUGCUGACGCCGACCAGCCCCGGAACAUCGCUUUACCCUCAUUUGCUAUCUUCGCUAAAGGUAGGGCGGACCACGUUGCGUAACCGCAUGAUCAUGGGGUCGAUGCACACCCGUCUCGAUAUGGAGGACAACGGCGUGCACAAGAUGGCGGUUUUCCUUGCCGAGCGCGCCA
RNAcentral lists this unclassified non-coding RNA (269 nucleotides) under Hevea brasiliensis (rubber tree). Lineage: Eukaryota; Viridiplantae; Streptophyta; Magnoliopsida; Malpighiales; Euphorbiaceae. The record is from RNAcentral.